CAAUAGCGUAUAUUUAAGUUGUUGCAGUUAAAAAGCUCGUAGUUGGAUUUCGGUUAAGAGCGACCGGUCCGCCGUUUGGUGUGCACUGGUUGGUUUUAACUUCCUGUAGGGGACGUGCUCUGGGUUUAACGACCUGGACUCGGAGUCUACGUGGUUACUUUGAAAAAAUUAGAGUGUUCAAAGCGGGCUUACGCUUGAAUAUUUCAGCAUGGAAUAACACUAUAGGACUCCUGUCCUAUUUCGUUGGUCUCGGGACGGGAGUAAUGAUUAAGAGGAACAGUUGGGGGCAUUCGUAUUUCAUUGUCAGAGGUGAAAUUCUUGGAUUUAUGAAAGACGAACUUCUGCGAAAGCAUUUGCCAAGGAUGUUUUCAUUAA
This 375-nucleotide ribosomal RNA is filed under the name uncultured eukaryote. RNAcentral describes it as "partial 18S ribosomal RNA". It matches the Rfam family "Eukaryotic small subunit ribosomal RNA", at positions 592 to 976 of the family's 1831-position model. The record is from RNAcentral.